RNAcentral lists this ribosomal RNA (253 nucleotides) under uncultured bacterium. RNAcentral's name for it is "partial 16S ribosomal RNA". It matches the Rfam family "Bacterial small subunit ribosomal RNA", at positions 524 to 776 of the family's 1533-position model. The record is from RNAcentral.
UACAGAGGGGGCAAGCGUUGUUCGGAAUUACUGGGCGUAAAGGGCGCGUAGGCGGCCUUCUAAGUCGAACGUGAAAUCCCUGGGCUCAACCCAGGAACUGCGUCCGAUACUGGAAGGCUUGAAUCCGGGAGAGGGAUGCGGAAUUCCAGGUGUAGCGGUGAAAUGCGUAGAUAUCUGGAGGAACACCGGUGGCGAAGGCGGCAUCCUGGACCGGUAUUGACGCUGAGGCGCGAAGGCGUGGGGAGCGAACGGG